AUUAGAUACCCUGGUAGUCCACGCUGUAAACGAUGUCGACUUGGAGGUUGUUCCCUUGAGGAGUGGCUUCCGGAGCUAACGCGUUAAGUCGACCGCCUGGGGAGUACGGCCGCAAGGUUAAAACUCAAAUGAAUUGACGGGGGCCCGCACAAGCGGUGGAGCAUGUGGUUUAAUUCGAUGCAACGCGAAGAACCUUACCUACUCUUGACAUCCAGAGAACUUAGCAGAGAUGCUUUGGUGCCUUCGGGAACUCUGAGACAGGUGCUGCAUGGCUGUCGUCAGCUCGUGUUGUGAAAUGUUGGGUUAAGUCCCGCAACGAGCGCAACCCUUAUCCUUUGUUGCCAGCGGUCCGGCCGGGAACUCAAAGGAGACUGCCAGUGAUAAACUGGAGGAAGGUGGGGAUGACGUCAAGUCAUCAUGGCCCUUACGAGUAGGGCUACACACGUGCUACAAUGGCAUAUACAAAGAGAAGCGACCUCGCGAGAGCAAGCGGACCUCAUAAAGUAUGUCGUAGUCCGGAUUGGAGUCUGCAA
This 533-nucleotide ribosomal RNA is filed under the name Klebsiella oxytoca. RNAcentral describes it as "bacterial SSU rRNA". It matches the Rfam family "Bacterial small subunit ribosomal RNA", at positions 777 to 1310 of the family's 1533-position model. Lineage: Bacteria; Pseudomonadati; Pseudomonadota; Gammaproteobacteria; Enterobacterales; Enterobacteriaceae. The record is from RNAcentral.